This 253-nucleotide ribosomal RNA is filed under the name uncultured bacterium. RNAcentral's name for it is "partial 16S ribosomal RNA". It matches the Rfam family "Bacterial small subunit ribosomal RNA", at positions 524 to 776 of the family's 1533-position model. The record is from RNAcentral.
UACAGAGGUCUCAAGCGUUGUUCGGAUUCAUUGGGCGUAAAGGGCGCGUAGGCGGCGGGGUAAGUCUGGUGUGAAAUCUCGGAGCUCAACUCCGAAAUUGCACUGGAUACUGCUCUGCUUGAGGGUUGGAGAGGAGAUCGGAAUUCACGGUGUAGCAGUGAAAUGCGUAGAUAUCGUGAGGAAGACCAGUGGCGAAGGCGGAUCUCUGAACAAAUCCUGACGCUGAGGCGCGAAGGCUAGGGGAGCAAACGGG